RNAcentral lists this ribosomal RNA (467 nucleotides) under uncultured bacterium. RNAcentral's name for it is "partial 16S ribosomal RNA". It matches the Rfam family "Bacterial small subunit ribosomal RNA", at positions 28 to 507 of the family's 1533-position model. The record is from RNAcentral.
GACGAACGCUGGCGGCGUGCUUAACACAUGCAAGUCGAACGGUGAAGCAGAGCUUGCGUUGUGGGCCCGUGGCGCAAGCGUGAGUAAAACAUGAGCAUCCCCCGCCCGAGACUGGGGUAAGCGCUGGAAACGCUGUCUCUUACACGGGAUGAGCGGCGCUCCUACGUUGAGCGGGUGGGAAGGUUUUUCGGUCUGGGAUGGGCUCACGGCCUAUCAGCUUGUUGGUGGGGUAAUGGCUCACCAAGGCCUCGACGGGUAGCCGGCCUGAGAGGGUGACCGGCCACACUGGGACUGAGACACGGCCCAGACUCCUACGGGAGGCAGCAGUGGGGAAUAUUGCACAAUGGGCGGAAGCCUGAUGCAGCAACGCCGCGUGAGGGAUGACGGCCUUCGGGUUGUAAACCGCUUUUGGCAGUGAAGAAGCGAAAGUGACGGUACCUGGAGAAGAAGCACCGGCUAACUACGUG